UUACUUACAUGGCUCAGAGGCGACCACCAAGGUGGUUCCUCCAGGGCGAGGCCUUUCCAUUGCACUAUAAGGAUGGGUUGACGUUGACCCUUGCGAUUAAUCCAAAUUGAUUAACUUGGAAGCACACUUUUUCUGGUGGGGACUGCGUUCGCGCCGUUUCCCU
Molecule: small nuclear RNA, 163 nt
Organism: Daphnia pulicaria
Lineage: Eukaryota; Metazoa; Arthropoda; Branchiopoda; Diplostraca; Daphniidae
Product: U1 spliceosomal RNA
Exons: 1
Source: RefSeq, a predicted model, not a curated record